This 28-nucleotide ribosomal RNA is filed under the name Coprosma fatuhivaensis. RNAcentral's name for it is "partial 26S ribosomal RNA". Lineage: Eukaryota; Viridiplantae; Streptophyta; Magnoliopsida; Gentianales; Rubiaceae. The record is from RNAcentral.
CAAGGGCCCCCGAAAAGGGCCUUCGAAC